CUAACCACAUGUAGAAGAGCAGAGACAUAAAUGCUUGAAGGUGCAUUUCCCUUAUUUGCUUCAGCUAUUACAUCUCCAUAACUGUAUCCUUCAUUUUUAAACAUCAUCUCUGACGAUACAAGCAUCUGCGAUGAAUGCUGCUGAGAGAGCGUUGAUUCUGAGGUCUUCUUCCUCUUUGAAAAUCCUGCCUUAGAAUCAAUAUCUUGGAGUGACGGAAUCAAAUUUAGCAUAUCUGAAAC
RNAcentral lists this unclassified non-coding RNA (239 nucleotides) under Hevea brasiliensis (rubber tree). The record is from RNAcentral. Lineage: Eukaryota; Viridiplantae; Streptophyta; Magnoliopsida; Malpighiales; Euphorbiaceae.